UACAGAGGUCUCAAGCGUUGUUCGGAUUCAUUGGGCGUAAAGGGUGCGUAGGCGGCGCGGUAAGUCGGGUGUGAAAUCUCGGAGCUUAACUCCGAAACUGCAUUCGAUACUGCCGUGCUUGAGGACUGGAGAGGAGACUGGAAUUUACGGUGUAGCGGUGAAAUGCGUAGAGAUCGGGAGGAACACCAGAGGCGAAAGCGGCGACCUGGACAGGAACUGACACUCAACUACGAAAGCGUGGGGAGCAAACAGG
Molecule: ribosomal RNA, 253 nt
Filed under: uncultured bacterium
Lineage: Bacteria
Description: partial 16S ribosomal RNA
Rfam family: Bacterial small subunit ribosomal RNA
Source: RNAcentral